Molecule: unclassified non-coding RNA, 3161 nt
Organism: Orbicella faveolata
Lineage: Eukaryota; Metazoa; Cnidaria; Anthozoa; Scleractinia; Merulinidae
Source: RefSeq, a predicted model, not a curated record
AAGGAUAGUACUAUAUCCUCGCUGGCUAUUACUUACCACAUCGCGAAACUAAGUUACGGGCGAGCUCUGCGGACUUGCUGUGGUAAGAGGUAGACAGCGAGCAUACAAGGGGAUGAUAACCAACACCAGGGAAGGAGAGUGGGUCGAACCUUGAUUUGUCGUUUCCCCGGUAGGCGCUGUGACUCGAUGAAAUCAUCACCAUGUGGCGAAUCCUAUGUAGAGGGGAAGCCCGCAAUGCACUAAUGCUACCCCAAGGAUCGCGGAGUACAUUUAUUGGACGUUUCACGAUGCCCUAAUUAAUUAUUCAGUGAGAAUAGAAAGAAGAACAUAACUCUUUGAGUGGCCGUAUACUGAAUAGGGUUAAAUUAUCAAGGAUUAUACAUGUUGGGAUUUCAGAAUGUGGCUGUUGGCCGUAUUAGCGGGGUGGCGCUUUCUUAUAAAGAAAAGUAUGAGCGUUUCACCGAGACAUAAAAAGUGGUCGCAUUAACGAGGUGACCAUAAGGCAGAGUUCCAUUGCACUGGGAACAAUUUUGGUAGAAACAUUUAUCCCUCUGGAAACGAAGUGACGCACGUUCAAUAUGCCUUUAAAGCUAUUGGACUAUUUCCUUAGUAUGUUGACAAAAAAUAGAUCGAGAUAGCAAAAAACGUAAUAACACACUUAAAAAGAAGUGUUUUAAUUCGAUUGUUUUGAGCCCGGUUUGAAACGUUUCCAUUUUCCCUUGACUUCCUUCUGCCUUACAGGGAAAUUCUUACAGUGUUUUUUCAAGUUUCUGGCAUUUUUGUUUUCACUUUUAUCUUAAGAACGACAAACUUAAUACGGCAAGUUUAAUCAUGUUGUUAUGACUAAUAGUGAGCCACGCGAAUAAAUGUUUGCAAGCAUCGUUUGCGCAGUAAUAAUUUGUUUAACUUUUCCUUCUCUUCUACUUUUCAGCGGAAAAGGUUCUGUUAUUGACACGUAUUCAUUUUCAUUUCAUUCUGGUCGACUCAUUAAAACCAGGAAACUCCCCCAGUGUUGUUUUAGUUUCUAUCACUUUUGGUCUCAUUUUCAUCAGAAGACUGCGAAACUGAACACGAGGAAAAGGUCUUGUCAUUGGCGCUUAUCCAUUUGGUUUCAUUCUGGUCGACUCAUCAAACCCCAUUCUAUCACUUUUGAUUCAAUUUCGUCCGAGGAUCGAGAGACUGACCACGCGGAAAGAAAGAACCCUGGAACAUUUUGCGAAUUCGAUGAUCGAAAAAAAACGGGGAACAUUGAUCAGUCCAAUCAUCACCGUCGUUUCAGCCGAGUAGGACAAAACUGGUGUUCGAGCAUAAAAUGUGACUGAAGUUCUUAUGCACUAAGACCAUCCUCGUCAUCAACUCGUGUGCCGUCUGUGAAUGGAUUUGUACAGGUUUUUCCAAAGCAUUAACAAAGAGGAGUGCAUGGAAUUCCGUUCUUGAAACAGCUACAGAGUCCCUUGCAGUCUAACUUGCAGCUGCAUUUGAUAAGCUCAAUAACAGCUUGGGGUGCAGGGAGAGACAAGUAUAUAACGGGCACGUAUGCUCCUUAGUUUCCGCUCCAGCCGUUCUCUGUAAUGAGGGGAAGAUCUGGGCAGGUGAUGGUAUAGGAUUUGUCACGCAUGGCUAGGAGGUUUGCGCGCUUGAUGGCAGCAUCUCACCUUCCAAGUUCCUGAGUCACAAGAGCUCCCAUCGAAGUUCAGGAAGGGUGGUAGGUCCCACUUUGCAAUACACUUGGCAGACAAAUUUCUCUAGGUCUUUAACCUGAGUUGGCAGUUCUCCGUUGGCUAACUGGUUUUGGAUAAGACGCUCAGACCAGCUUGAUGGUUGUGUUGCUGGAGAAGCGCGCUAAUAAUCCAUUUACGAACAAAGUGACCAGUCUCAGCUUUUUCAUAGCGUCCCAUAAGGAGUGCUUAGAAGAUAUUUGUCUUCAACAAAUGCUUCAAACCGCUUUUGGCUCUUCUCUGCCUAGCGCAGGAUAUCUUCCUUUGCUUUUUCAGGCACAAGAGCUGACGACAUCACACUCUUCUAGGGAGACUCAACUGUAAAUGGGUUACCUUCGCAGUGUAGCUCUAUCGACUGGCGGAGUUUCAUGGCGUUUUUUCGCGUUCUUACAGCAACAUCCCAAGAGAGUUGAUAGUGCUCGUUCUCCUCAGAAGCCUCGGAAACUUUAGGAAAGCGUUUUGUUGCUCUACCAUACGGUAGAGAUACAGUGACGUGACAAGAGGGUGAUCUACGGCGGCUUCGUCUUGACUUAACCCGAACAUACCUCCGUGGCGCUUUAAUACUUUGAUCUCCUGUUCUAGCGUCUGAUCUGUGAACAACCUCGUGAACGGGAUCCCUGACUUCGCGACAACAAAAUCCUCGGACUUCAAUGCCUCAUAUGUCAUAAGGUCCUCAUGCUCGAGUGCGUUCAUUUGCGCGAGGUGGACUGGCAUUAGCCGAGCGCAGUUGAGGAGAUCGUGCGCGAAGAAGUUCUUUAUCAGGCAUUCCAUCGCUGCCAGGUAGCCUUCCCAGUCCCCAGAGCGGCAAGCAUGGAUGAGCUGUAACAGGUUGUGCAAUUACUUGAGGUACUCUAUCAUAAAUCGUUCAAGAUUUCAAGUCCUUGUUCUUCACGGUCUUGUGGUUUGACCUUUUCAGAGUACCAGGGCUGGAUGUCGUCAUAGAUGUUAACCAUUUUUGGACUACGCUCGUGGAAGGCCUCUUGAAAGGAUACGAAGCUACGAAUAGAGAGUUUCAUUUUAUUCAGUUGUUCACCAUUCUCUGCGUUAGCUUAGCCUAAAUAAUUUCCAUUACAAACUUGCCAUCGGGAGGAAAAAACUAAACUUUAUUAUGCCCAUUACUGUGCUUCCUGCGCUCACGAUUUCGAUUUGGCACAUGUGAAAUGCCACGUCUAAAUCAAAUACCGCAUGUUUUUAAUUCGAAGCGACUCAAGUUGGUAUUUGAUUCGGCGCAUAUGAAAUUUGACGUGUAAACCUGGCCUAAGUGAAAAAAAAAAAAUAAAUAAACAGCCGUAAAACUCCAAACUCUAGGCGUGUUUCGCAAUUUUAAGCCCUGAAAAGAAACUCGUCCGUUUGAGCAGCACAUGUUAUCAUUCGUUACUUAGGGUGCGUUUCUUUGUUAAGAUCAUUCCCCAGUAUUGCACUGCGCAUCCCUACUGCCCAUAA